GUUCAGCUCUAGCUACCGGUUCAUCUACCGCCUGAGGACUCUGGGAGACCGAGAUAGACGAACUCCUAGAGCCGCUAGAAGAAGAAGCCCUGGAAGACAUCUAGAAUCACACGGAGACCACCUAUAGAGGCGAAAUCCCUAAAGAUUGGGGAAAAUUGCGGACAAGGUCUUAGGGGACUGAUGUGUAGAGCAAGAGGAAGAAAGAUCGAAUGG
RNAcentral lists this long non-coding RNA (213 nucleotides) under Elaeis guineensis (African oil palm). RNAcentral describes it as "long non-coding RNA (EGUI_LNC057823)". Lineage: Eukaryota; Viridiplantae; Streptophyta; Magnoliopsida; Arecales; Arecaceae. The record is from RNAcentral.